This is a long non-coding RNA of Symphalangus syndactylus (siamang), 849 nucleotides long. RefSeq lists it as uncharacterized. Lineage: Eukaryota; Metazoa; Chordata; Mammalia; Primates; Hylobatidae. The record is from RefSeq and is a predicted model, not a curated record.
UGCCACUGGAAACAGCAGGAAGGAGACUUGAAGCAAAGCCAUCAAUUUCCACAGAAAGGGGAAACCCACACCCAAAUGGUAGGGAGGGCCCAGGAGCCAGAAUUCAAGUGAAUAGUUUCCUGAGUGGUCAGCAGCGUCAGGAACAGUGGAUAAUACCAUAUUCAGCCCCCCUGACAACCCCAUGAAACAGAGUGGGAAGACAAUCUCUGCAUGUGUUAAGUUCUAGAUGAGCAAGGACCUUACCUGUAUCAUUGGCAUUGUAUCUCCAGUGGCUAGCAUAGCACCUGGCAUAUAGUAUCUGCUCAGAAAAGCGGUGUCUGAUUUGGCAAGAAUACAUUUCUGCAUUCAAAGUUGAAAUGUGAAGAUAAACCUCACCCACUUGGAAUAGGAUAAAAGAAAAUCCCCUGGAUAGAGGGAAAUAUGCAAACAGUUCUAUUACCAUGUGUAUCUUUUCCUGAGCUGGGUCUUUAUGCAACAAAGGAACUGGAGGUAAUCCAUGCCUCACUGUGGAGUGUUCCUGACUCAGCAACCAGAUCCCAUCAUCACUGUAAUACCAGAAGAAUGGAAAAAGGUGCAAAGACUAGACUUUCAGAGGAAUCUGGGUUUUUUUGUUUUUUUAUUUUAUUUUAAAGCUUAGGUCUGAAAUGGGUGCAUUUAAAAUAUUUCAGCACACUGACUAAGAGGAUAGGCUGCAAAGUCAGCUAGGCCCGAGUUGAGAAAUGGCAUUUCUACUUACAGCUGGCUAUUUUUGAACAAGUAAUCACUGAUCUCAGUAUAUAUGCUAGUAAGUGAAAAAACAUGAUACUGUCAGUUGAGGAUUCAUUUGCAAAUUAAAUGGGACAUUGCAUA